CCUUCCGUCCCGUACACAGCCGCUGCCACACAGAACAUGGAUGAUAACAGGCCAUUAAUCCUGCUGUGCGAUUGGUACAAGACAGAGAACACGUAAGACCAAAUAAGGUGGAAUGAUGCAAAUACCGAUGAAACAGUUAUGAAAAUUGAGCUCACCUUUACUACACAGACAGUACUGAGAGCCCAAAUGAAGCAGACUGAGACACGCCGAUUUCUGCAGAGACUGGCCUGCGGGAGCAGUAAGUGAUCUUAUUGUCCCUUACUCCCUUGUGAUCAGGUGGUUAGGGCUCCUUAUGGGACUCCUUGGUAAAACAUUCCAUUAACUGCAAUAAAUUGGUUCCUAGACGCAUCAUUAGCUAAACGUCUGCCACUCUGCCAUUUGCAUAUACUUUCCAUUGCACUAUAUCAGCCUACACAGUAACACUCAA
Molecule: long non-coding RNA, 427 nt
Organism: Pseudophryne corroboree (corroboree frog)
Lineage: Eukaryota; Metazoa; Chordata; Amphibia; Anura; Myobatrachidae
Exons: 3
Source: RefSeq, a predicted model, not a curated record